Molecule: ribosomal RNA, 492 nt
Filed under: uncultured bacterium
Lineage: Bacteria
Description: partial 16S ribosomal RNA
Rfam family: Bacterial small subunit ribosomal RNA
Source: RNAcentral
AGUGAACGCUGGCGGUAGGCCUAACACAUGCAAGUCGAACGGCAGCACAGUAAGAGCUUGCUCUUACGGGUGGCGAGUGGCGGACGGGUGAGGAAUACAUCGGAAUCUACUUUUUCGUGGGGGAUAACGUAGGGAAACUUACGCUAAUACCGCAUACGACCUACGGGUGAAAUCAGGGGAUCUUCGGACCUUGCGCGAUUGAAUGAGCCGAUGUCGGAUUAGCUAGUUGGCGGGGUAAAGGCCCACCAAGGCGACGAUCCGUAGCUGGUCUGAGAGGAUGAUCAGACACACUAGAACUGAGACACGGUCCAGACUCCUACGGGAGGCAGCAGUGGGGAAUAUUGGACAAAGGGCGCAAGCCUGAUCCAGCCAUACCGCGUGGGUGAAGAAGGCCUUCGGGUUGUAAAGCCCUUUUGUUGGGAAAGAAAAGCAGCAGGUUAAUACCCCGCUGUUCUGACGGUACCCAAAGAAUAAGCACCGGCUAACUUCGUG